Molecule: ribosomal RNA, 497 nt
Filed under: uncultured bacterium
Lineage: Bacteria
Description: partial 16S ribosomal RNA
Rfam family: Bacterial small subunit ribosomal RNA
Source: RNAcentral
GACGAACGCUGGCGGCGUGCCUAAUACAUGCAAGUCGAGCGAACAGACCAUGAGCUUGCUCCUCUGACGUUAGCGGCGGACGGGUGAGUAACACGUGGAUCACCUACCUAUAAUACUGGUAUCACUUCGAAACACCGGCGCUAAUACCGUAUAAUAUAUUGAACCGCAUGGUUCGAUAGUGAAAGACGGUUUUGCUGUCACUUAUAGAUGGAUCCCCGCCGCAUUAGCUAGUUGGUAAGGUAACGGCUUACCAAGGCAACGAUGCGUAGCCGAACUCAGAGGGGGGUCGGCGACCCUGGAACGGGGACGGGGUCAAUGCUACUGCGGGAGGCAGCAGUAGGGAAUCUGAGGCAAUGGGCGAAAGCCUGACGGAGCAACGCCGCGUGAGUGAUGAAGGUCUCCGGUUCGUAAAGCUCUGUUAUUAGGGAAGAACAAAUGUGGAAGUAACUAUGCACGUCUUGACGGUAAUUAAUCAGAAAGCAACGGCUAACUACGUG